This 1047-nucleotide long non-coding RNA is filed under the name Lonchura striata (white-rumped munia). Its description in RNAcentral is "domestica (Bengalese finch) lncRNA (ENSLSDG00000017803.1)". The record is from RNAcentral. Lineage: Eukaryota; Metazoa; Chordata; Aves; Passeriformes; Estrildidae.
CGGCGUGACGUCACGGCGGCGGCUGCCGGGAGCCCCCGGGCCGGGACGGCUCCGGCCGGGCCCCGCGGGCCUUGCGUGGCUCCGGCAUCCCCCGCCAUGCGCAGCGGGGAGUCCCGGGGAGCUCCGGGCUGGCUAGCUGGAAUGGAAGCGCCGUAGCGAGCUGGCUCUUAGAAAGGCUGAAUGCUUGGAGUCAGUCACAGAAAAUUUGCUGCUGUCACAUCAUCUCUUGCCUUGGAGCCCGGCUCAGGCUUACAGUAAUUCGUGUUGCACAUCACAGUAAGCAGCUCCAGGUGUCAACUGAGCAAAGUCCAGAUCAGCUGCAGUUAUUCCAGAGUAUGCGUCCACAUGCAGAAUAUUCCAGAACAGGUGAGCUGUCCUUCCACUGUCCACUUCUCUUGUGGGUGAAUAUGGGAUGUUGGAUUUUGGAAGUGGGGAGAAAUCCACCAGUUUCAGCAGUACUGGUCAGACCUUGUCCCAACAGCCCGGGGAGGUUAUGCUUUGCCUGGGCGGUGCCACCUACAGGGUGUCCUGGUGGCUGCUGCUGUGCAUGGGAUUGCUGUGCAGCCCCAUUUCCCAGUGGGAUUCCCCAUGGGGUGUCCCCCAGGGGCUGCGGCAGGGAGAAAUGGGGUGAGAGACAGGCCGAGACAGCUGAAGAGCCGAGCUGUGGCCAGACCUCACAAGGCUCCUCUCUCUGAUUUAAGGACAGGCUGCCCUAUGAACACUGAUCUGGGUCUCCUGGGAGCAAACUCAGAGAAUCCUGCUGAUUGCUCUGGACAUGAGAUUCUGAUGGGAAUACCUGGCCAAUGCAACAUUUAUUAACGCACCCAUCUCAGGUGUUAUUCACCCCUGAACCUGUACGAGCCAAUGUCACUUCACAAUUCCCUCUUUGCAGACAAAUCCUAAACCUGUAUGGAUCCAGGGUUGCCCUUACCAUUCCUGGAGCUCUCCACUUCCUGCUUUUCCUGUUGCUUUCUGCAGCCAGCUUCACAAAACCCAAACAGGAAUAAUGGGUAAAAUAAAUAUUUCCAGCUGAGGAUUCUGCUUCCA